This 672-nucleotide ribosomal RNA is filed under the name Triticum aestivum (bread wheat). Its description in RNAcentral is "partial small subunit ribosomal RNA". Lineage: Eukaryota; Viridiplantae; Streptophyta; Magnoliopsida; Poales; Poaceae. The record is from RNAcentral.
AUGGGAGACAAAGAAAUGCAACAGACAGAAUGUUGCGUACUAGAAGAGUUUCCGCCAAAUCCCGAGCCAAAAGAACAUAUUAUGCAUGCGACAACCACAAAAGAGCAUGAAGUUAUUGAUAUAUCCAGUAAACACAAAGAGGUUAUGGAUGUCAGCAGACACGCCGUCGCCCAAGAAUCUUGCACAGACCACGAAGAAAAGGAUCCACCAAUAGAACCAGAUCAACCACCACUAGACGACAAGAUACCACACCAUGCUAAAGAGCAAACGGACGAGCAAAAUAUCAACAGCAAUACCCCGAGCACAGAUCAACUUGAACAAACAGGCACUGAUUUAAAAGAGGAUGGCACAAGCAACGACGUACCAAAUACACAAGAACAGGACAAAGUUGAUGAAUUUCUUUCAAGCCUUAACCCGCUCCAACUAGAGGAAUACAACGAGCAUGUAAAGAUGGGCGUUGAAUUCGAUGUAAUCAAAACACGGCUGAAUGACCAUGAAAGCUAUGAAUUCAACAAAGAUCCCACGCCGUAUCUGACAAUCUUGCAGCAAGAAUCAGGAGAACAUUCAAUGCCUCAAUCAUCUGAGAACAGCUCAGACAAGAAAAUCUCGGUCAAGAAGAGACCGGUAAAGCCUUCAAGAAGGCUGCAUGGAAAAAUCCUACUUUUGUCCUAG